This 464-nucleotide ribosomal RNA is filed under the name uncultured bacterium. RNAcentral's name for it is "partial 16S ribosomal RNA". It matches the Rfam family "Bacterial small subunit ribosomal RNA", at positions 29 to 507 of the family's 1533-position model. The record is from RNAcentral.
AUGCACGUUGGCGGCGUGGAUUAGGCAUGCAAGUCGCGCGAGAACCCCGCAAGGGGGGACAGCGGCGAAAGGGACAGUAAUGUGUAGAUUAUCUGCCCUCAGGUCCGGGAUAGCUGCGGGAAACUGCAGGUAAUACCGGAUAACAUCUCCGGAUCAAAGGUGUGAUUCCGCCUGAGGAUGAGUCUGCAUCCUAUUAGCUAGUUGGUGGGGUAAUGGCCUACCAAGGCAUUGAUGGGUAGCAGGUGUGAGAGCACGACCUGCGUCAUUGGGACUGAGACACUGCCCAGACACCUACGGGUGGCUGCAGUCGAGAAUCUUCGGCAAUGGGCGCAAGCCUGACCGAGCGACGCCGCGUGUGGGAUGAAGGCCUUCGGGUUGUAAACCACUGUCAGAGGGGAUGAAAUGCAGGUGGGUGCUCCCAUCUGUUUGACAUAGCCUCAGAGGAAGGACGGGCUAAGUUCGUG